GACAGUUGGACCCAAGCUCACUUCUUUACUUUUUCUGCUUCGGAGUGGUCUGAAGACACACCACUUCAUCUCUCUGGCUAUUGUCUCUCUACAUCAAACUUGAGCUGAAGAAAAAAGAGAGUCUUGCCCAGAAAAGACCUCAGCAGGGUUAUUGCUGUUCUCCCUCAGAGGAAGAAAUUUUAUUCCUUUUUGAAGAGACUUACACCAAAGCCUUCAACAAGUGAUAUAAAUUAGAAUGAGGGGUGAAAAAAAAAAAACCCUCUCCCUCUCUCCCAGUUCCACUGUAUUUCUUUCCCCCAAGAGAAUAAAUAGAUCUUUUUAAAACUAAAGAAACUGUUCUGAAGGUUGUUGUAAUUAGAGGAAGUAAUUGACUUACCCUCUGUGAGGCAAACUUCAUUAAGUUGCUUAGUGAGGAGAACAGGAAGUGAAGGAGGUGCUCUGAAAUCAGCUUCCUUCCUUCAAACUGCUUCCUGGUGUAACAUCUUUUGAUUUCCCUUAUUAUCUCUCACUAAUUUCCCUCUCUAAUACAUUAAGUACUAGAGACACAAGGACAAAGUUGAACCAGUCCCUGUCUUGCAUUCUAAUGGGAAACCAAUACAUAAACAUAUAAGUAUAUCAAGAAUAUAUACAAAAUGAAUAAAAGGAAAUUUUGGGAAGGUGUACCAGGAAAGUUGAAGGUUGGAGGACCAGAAAAGGCUUCAAGAAGAAGGAUGACCUAAAUUUUGAAGGAAAGUGGGAGUUCCAAGAGAUAGAGAGAAUUUUGUAUCAUCAUGACUAAAUGAGACAAGAUUCUUGCUUUUCUUGGAUAAAAGUGACUUUUGGAGAGGACAUGAGGAAGGAAUACAGUGAGAAACAGAAGACACAAAAAUAAAAAAUAUUAAUUAAUUUAAAUGAUUUUAAAAAAGAAAUCAUUUAAUCAAAUGUCAAGAGCUAGAAUGGACCAUAAACCAUAAACAUUCAAUUUAACUGCCUCAUUUUAUGAAAGAAGAAACAGAGUUCUUUUUCACUGGAACAUUCAAAAUAUCUCCCAAAGAUAAUCUUUCUCUGGAACAUUCUUCAAAAAUUACACAUAUGCCUACUCUGUGUAGGGAGGAAUGGGAGAGAGGGAAAUACCUAGGAACUUCACUAUAACAAGCCAGUGGUUAAAAAAUAAAUCACAGUUUUGAAAAAAAAGAAAAUUAUACAUCAUAAAGGAGAAAAGAAGAAAAUAUAUAAACAUAUAUGUGCAAAGAGGUUUUGCAAAUACUUGACCCUUUGGUGUUGCAUACUAUCUCCUCUCUAUUUCCUGACUUCUAUGACCUGGGAACCUGGAAAGAGGGAUCAAAUAGAGCACCCUUGACGUGCCGUGCUUUGAGCACAAUAGUAUUACUGUAGACACAAUAAAGAACACAAGAGUGUGAUGUGCACUUGUGUAGCAGUCAUAUUCACAUUCCAUGACAGGGUGAACUCAGUGGCCCCUGAAUUCCCCAGGGAUUCUGACUGAUACAAAAGGGCCCCAAAGCUUUAAUCAGCUUGUCAUAAAUUUACCUUCUCUCAGCAAAUUUACACAGCUCUUCCUCCACAGCCUGUGGUCUCAUGGCAAAUUUACGGCACGCUGAUUACAGGUUUUGUUUGCCUCCAAGUAGAUAGAAGCCAAAGUGAUUAAAUGGAAUCAAAAUCAAUGCCAA
This is a non-coding RNA of Monodelphis domestica (gray short-tailed opossum), 1667 nucleotides long. NCBI's taxonomy places the organism in Eukaryota, Metazoa, Chordata, Mammalia, Didelphimorphia, Didelphidae. The record is from RefSeq and is a predicted model, not a curated record.